AUGGCGCCGCGCAAGUGGUACUACGCUCUCGAGCAGGACGAGGGCGGGAUGCCUUCGUGGGAGCGCUUCCGUGACCUGUGCCUCCAACGGUUCGGCCCGACCCUCCGCGGGAGCCGACUCGCCGAGCUCGGCCGCCUGCCCUUCACCACCACGGUGCAGGACUUUGCCGACCGCUUCCAGGCACUGGCCUGCCACGCCCCGGGCGUCUCGGCGCGUCAGCGCGCUGACCUCUUCGUCGGCGGCCUCCCCGACCACAUCUGCGUCGAUGUCGAGAUGAGGGAGCCCCAGGACCUGCAGACGGCCAUGUACUACGCGCGCGCAUAUGAGCAGCGCGCCCUCGCCAUGUAG
This 348-nucleotide ribosomal RNA is filed under the name Triticum aestivum (bread wheat). RNAcentral describes it as "partial small subunit ribosomal RNA". Lineage: Eukaryota; Viridiplantae; Streptophyta; Magnoliopsida; Poales; Poaceae. The record is from RNAcentral.